UCGGAGCCCAGGACGCCGCCAUGUCUUCCGGGGCCAGCGUGAGCGCCUUGCAGCGCCUGGUGGAGCAGCUCAAGCUGGAGGCCGGCGUGGAGAGGAUCAUGGUCUCUCAGGCGGCUGCAGAGCUUCAACAAUAUUGCAUGCAGAAUGCCUGCAAGGAUGCCCUGCUGGUGGGUGUUCCAGCUGGAAGCAAUCCCUUUCGGGAGCCCAGAUCCUGUGCUUUACUCUGAAGACUGUAGAGAAGAAGUUUGCUGAAGAAUGCUUUCAAGCACAAACUGAUGAAUGACUGCCUCCAAAUUUCAAGAAAACACUUCUCUAACCACAGGACUUCUAGAUGUUUCACAGGACCUUUCCUGUGACCUGGUCCUUUAGCCAACAUUCUACAGAAACUGAUGUUUCUACUCAAAUAAGGAAACUGGGUGAAGGUGUAGAUUUUAAAUAAUAAUGGCCUGAUUCUUUGCUGAAGUGCUUUAUACUUAAACAAAAACCUUACCGCCAAAUAUACCAAGAUACACUUCUUUCAUUAAGUGAAUUACUAUCGUUUCUAUGCCUGGAAUGUUAUGUAUGUUUUAUUUACUAGAUGUUUACAUUUUGGGAAGGAAAACAGUAUUCUUUGUUAAAAAAUUGAAUAUUUGUUGUUUGCUGUUCCCAACUAAGAUCUUUAUACCAUAACAAAAUUUGCUCUUUUCUCAUGAAUUUAUAAUUU
This is an RNA transcript of Capra hircus (goat), 703 nucleotides long. It is a transcript of the gene named guanine nucleotide-binding protein G(I)/G(S)/G(O) subunit gamma-10 pseudogene, with no coding region annotated. The record is from RefSeq and is a predicted model, not a curated record. The transcript has a single exon. Lineage: Eukaryota; Metazoa; Chordata; Mammalia; Artiodactyla; Bovidae.